GCAAUUGGGGAAUUGUAUCAGUCCAAUGGAGUUCUUUCGCGGAAGACCUAGCCUGGAAGAGAAUCGCACCAGAGAGUCUCAACGAGCGAUCUAAACUACUGAUGCUUCAUGAAUCAUUUUCCCUUCUUCCAAGUUAACAAUUCCUGCUUAUUCCUACUUUAAUUAUGUCUAGGAAAUCAAAUUCAGGCUUUCUAUUUCUAUAUUACGAGGCGAUUCUCACGGUGAUUCUGCUCGUGACUCGGUCCAACUCAGCACCUCAGGCCUUUCGGAGAGACCCAGGGCAUCCUCAGUGGCAUCACGGCGCAUUUCACGAUGUCAGAGACAGCGUUCGUUCAGAUGUUCGCCGGAUGCUCCACACUCGAGCGGAGGUUCCGUUCCAGGUA
This 383-nucleotide unclassified non-coding RNA is filed under the name Hevea brasiliensis (rubber tree). The record is from RNAcentral. Lineage: Eukaryota; Viridiplantae; Streptophyta; Magnoliopsida; Malpighiales; Euphorbiaceae.